RNAcentral lists this ribosomal RNA (465 nucleotides) under uncultured Nitrosomonas sp. RNAcentral's name for it is "bacterial SSU rRNA". It matches the Rfam family "Bacterial small subunit ribosomal RNA", at positions 198 to 644 of the family's 1533-position model. The record is from RNAcentral. Lineage: Bacteria; Pseudomonadati; Pseudomonadota; Betaproteobacteria; Nitrosomonadales; Nitrosomonadaceae. RNAcentral also lists the same sequence under 1 other name.
GGAGGAAAGUAGGGGAUCGAAAGACCUUGCGCUUUGGGAGCGGCCGAUGUCUGAUUAGCUAGUUGGUGGGGUAAAGGCCUACCAAGGCGACGAUCAGUAGUUGGUCUGAGAGGACGACCAGCCACACUGGGACUGAGACACGGCCCAGACUCCUACGGGAGGCAGCAGUGGGGAAUUUUGGACAAUGGGCGCAAGCCUGAUCCAGCAAUGCCGCGUGAGUGAAGAAGGCCUUCGGGUUGUAAAGCUCUUUCAGUCGAGAAGAAAAAGCUGCAGUGAAUAACUGUAGUUCAUGACGGUAUCGACAGAAGAAGCACCGGCUAACUACGUGCCAGCAGCCGCGGUAAUACGUAGGGUGCGAGCGUUAAUCGGAAUUACUGGGCGUAAAGGGUGCGCAGGCGGCUUUGUAAGUCAGAUGUGAAAUCCCCGGGCUUAACCUGGGAAUUGCGUUUGAAACUACAAAGCUAG